Molecule: ribosomal RNA, 593 nt
Filed under: uncultured bacterium
Lineage: Bacteria
Description: partial 16S ribosomal RNA
Rfam family: Bacterial small subunit ribosomal RNA
Source: RNAcentral
UGGGGGAAUUUUGGACAAUGGGGGAAACCCUGAUCCAGCCAUCCCGCGUGUGCGAUGAAGGCCUUCGGGUUGUAAAGCACUUUUGGCAGGAAAGAAACGUCGCGGGUUAAUACCCCGCNAAACUGACGGGUACCUGCAGAAUAAGCACCGGCUAACUACGUGCCAGCAGCCGCGGUAAUACGUAGGGUGCAAGCGUUAAUCGGAAUUACUGGGCGUAAAGCGUGCGCAGGCGGUUCGGAAAGAAAGAUGUGAAAUCCCAGAGCUUAACUUUGGAACUGCAUUUUUAACUACCGGGCUAGAGUGUGUCAGAGGGAGGUGGAAUUCCGCGUGUAGCAGUGAAAUGCGUAGAUAUGCGGAGGAACACCGAUGGCGAAGGCAGCCUCCUGGGAUAACACUGACGCUCAUGCACGAAAGCGUGGGGAGCAAACAGGAUUAGAUACCCUGGUAGUCCACGCCCUAAACGAUGUCAACUAGCUAGUUGGGGCCUUGCGGGCCUUGGUAGCGCAGCUAACGCGUGAAGUUGACCGCCUGGGGAGUACGGUUGCAAGAUUAAAAAGCUCAAAAUGAAUUGACGGGGGUCAUAGCUUCUUUCG